Long non-coding RNA from Bombus huntii, 4502 nucleotides. RefSeq lists it as uncharacterized. The transcript is spliced from 5 exons. Lineage: Eukaryota; Metazoa; Arthropoda; Insecta; Hymenoptera; Apidae. The record is from RefSeq and is a predicted model, not a curated record.
CUGACUAAAAUUUGAUACUUUUGAUUUUGUAUAAAUAUGGGGUCGGAAAUGAAUAUUAUCAUGCACAUAGAUGGACAGUUUGAAUGUUCGGAGUUAUUUUACUUAUUGUUGGUAUCCUAUUGCGAAUUUCCUUUAAUGCGAGAUUUUUUCGCUUUCGUAAUCUUCGUUCGGUAAUUCUCGUAAAUAACCCAAAAAUCGUAGGCCAAGUUUCCUUUUCAAAAUCAAAUCAUUGAAUUUUAAUUGGACCACGCGAACAAUAUAUACCACAUAUACAUGCGUAUAUAAUUUUAUUGUAAGAAAUAAAAGCGUUUCAUAUUUUACAAUACGCAUAUUGCUCAUCUGUUUGGUGCGUUACAGAUGAGAAUAAUUGUAACGAACUGAUUCCCGUUAUUUCGUCCAAUUUCGCAAAGUCUUAUGCACGUUUUUGAAACAGGAAAUAAUUAGUUAUUAACAGAAGAUCGCCUGAUAAUUGGUGUUUACCAAGUUUCUCAAUAUAUUAGGCGUUAUAGCGUUUGAAUUGAUGUUAAUGUCUUCAUUUAAUACAGCCACCGAAGCUUUCUCCUUAAAGGAAGCUCGUAAAACGCGUUUCAUGAUCAUUCACCAUCAAUCACGGCACAAAUAGGCUGAACUAUUGUUAAAAAUUUAAUGAGCGAGUCUAUAAAAUCUCAAGAAGCGAGGCGUGCUAUGAUCGCAAGACACAUGGAAAUUAGUAGAAAUUCAACCAAAAUUAUUAGAAAUCCAAACCUAGUCUUCUUCGUGAUUUUUCUAAAUAUUGAUCUUCCUAAAAAUUAUACACUUCCCUUUGAAUUCGCAUACGACUUAUCAAAGCGUCGCUUUUAGAAGUAUUAGGGUUAAAAAAUAACACAGGAUCGAAUACGACUAAUUCGUAAUUCCUCAUAGAAAUUUUCUGAUUUUCAACGGUGUAUUCUUAGGAAUUUGAAUGAUUUUCCGUAUAAAAUAUAAGUGGAAGCUCUUUUUCCUGCUCUACAUUAUCUGCACGUCAUCUCAUUCUAAUCUCUUUGGCACGAGUUUCGUGCUUUUCUCGUGAAUAGUUUUAGCGUGAAAUGCUGAAAACGCGAGCACAGAGAGCUCUUCAUGGCAACCGAUACCGCCCGUCAAAGCAAUCACCGGCAAGAAAUCGCUCGAAAAGCUGGUGCUGGCUGUACGAGGAAAAUGAAGAGACGCGGCCAAAGCAAACAGCACGCUGACUCUCGGCGAACCGCCGCGGUUGACGUUGUAAUACGGUAAACGUUUUAUUGGAACGGGAUACAGCGGUAGUGCGUCAAAGCGACGAUGUACUUAACCGAUUGUGUUUGUUUGAAUUUUGCGGCCGAACGCUGCUCAGGAAUUGAGUGGUAAUUUGAAGUAGCGGAGGGAAAACGACGUUUCAGAUCAACGUUCUACCCAUUGAUUGGGAAAGACGAGCCGGAUUAGUGGCUGACCAAUUCUGUGUACACGUGCCAGCAAAAUUAUUGUUUUUCUUGUUUGGUGUUCGUGUAGGAGAAGGCAGAAAUAAGGAAAAGAAAUUAUCAUGCUGGAGUCUCGCCGGAAGUGUCUUGUAUAAAUACAGCUGUCGCGCGCUACGCAAAAGGAGAGCCGGUGAACGGGGUAAGCGAUACUCCACCAUCGCAGACAUUCUUUCGUCGAAGGAAGAAAGGCGUGAAGAGAGAAGAGGGUUAAAAAAUUUGUGAAAGGAAACCAGAUCUAAAAAUGUCUAAUCCUCCCGAUCUUUUUCGAAACUUUUUUAUCCCUUCUAAUAUUAAAUCGCCAACUUUUGCUACGAAUGUAGGAUAUUAAGACAUUGGGCACGCGAUUCGAGUGAUUUCAGCAGACUCGGGAAGAGAAUAUUGCGAAAUCGGGAAAUUUUGAAAAAAGAUCGAUGAAGAAAGAAACGAUAGAAAAGAAAAUGAAACCAUACACGUCAAUGAAAAUUUGGUAAUUAUAACUAUCGAAAGAAAAGGAAAAUGAAAAAUAACUGAUCUGCGAAAUUAACGCAUUUUCAAAUUGCUAAAUUGUUAAAUUAACAAAUAAAAUUCCAAACUUUCUUGCGGAACAAUUAUUUUUUGUAUUGAAGAAUUUAACAAAUUGUAAUUAAUUAUAAUAAAUACCACUGGUAUCAUUUAAAAUACAUCCAUCUUACAUCUGAAACAGCAUAAAGCGUGAUUUCCAAAAAACGAAAAUGAAAAGCGAACGCAGGGUAAUUAGACCAUCUUGGAUGCCAUUCGAAAAGGAACCUCGACCCAACGACGAACACGGUACCAGAGUUCGGUCUGGUUCCGAGCGCAUACGCGAAAAACUAAUUACCAUUACGCCUCUCUCGGAGCGGAACCGUCUCGGGAAAAAUGAACAGAAAUGUCCUACACCGUGAUCCCUGUCCCAGCCUCGUUAUUUUUAGUAUCGAGAUACUGGCCGAAGAGAGAAGAGACACGGUCAAAGGGAAGCGACAGACCAACCAGCUAGAAGCAACGUGGAAAGAGUAAAAGAGACAAUUGUGCAACUAAGUAUGUUGUAAUUAAACAGUAGGCAAAGAGAAUCCAGCUACUAUGCAGUGUAUAAGUACAUUGCCCUUCAUAAGUAUCUGAAUACUUUGUUCAAUUCAAAGUAACAGUCGAUGGUCAAAUGCACAAAUGAAUGAUGAAUUAAUAUUAAUUAGAAACAUCACUUGCUAUCUUAUUAUAAUAUCAACAGAUCAGAUCAGCAGAAGAGUAAUAUAUUUUAUUAUUUAUUAUUUAUUACAUAUAUUUAUUAUUUAUAUAUCAUUGCUCGCAUCAAAAAAAAUUUCUAUUAAUUUAGAGGAACCUUCGUGAUCUGAUUUGUAAUCCAACAACUAAACAAUCUGAAAAUAAACAGCUUGUCAAGAUUUCACAAUUAUAAACACCAGCUUUAUUGUUGCAUAUUGGCUUUUAAAAACACUUCAAUCUGUACUUGGAAGCUUGUCGAAGUUUCGUAUAGAGACGCGUGUUCACGCGUGCCACCUCGCAUACCUAUACGCACCUCGCACGGCCACUGGUAUUAAAGCUACAUGCAUCGUUGUCCUGGUAAAAGAGGACCACCGCGUGACCAAGGGAGGAGUACUCUUAAAAUGUUAUGACGUGGAACUCGUGAUUUCAUGGAACAUUUAAUCACUAUAUUGGUAAAUAGCCGAAACAGGGGUUCUCGGACAUUGGACUGCAAAGGGUAUUCCAUUGCUUUGCUCGAUGCUGAUGCGAUCGUUGAAGAGAAUUUGAAAUGGAGCAUCGAGAAUUUAUGGGCUUCUAUUUGGUAUUUAUGUAGGAUGAAUCAGGUUUGAAACAAAGAUAGAUUAUAAUUAUAUUUGAAAUAAUGGGCGAAUACAAAUAAUUCAGAAAUAUCAUUUUGUGGCAGUUUUUUUGUAUAUAAGAAGUAUAUCUAUUGCAUAAAAUAUUUGCUCCGAACCGAAUUUAAUAUCAAAACAUUUGAUCAGACGAAGAAGCACGAGAUUCAAAUACGAAAAGAAAUGUAUCUAAAUCGACGUAUUAUUAUACUAUAUACUCACUUGCUACGAAAGAUUGAUCAUUUUAAUCAAACGAAUUGUAAAUUUCAUAUAUUGCGAUUUAAUAACUUACAGCAGAACUGCAUUUAAAACUUCCAACUCAUAGAAAGACAGUAAGUUCAAUAAAUACAGUUCAUAUAAUAGCACUUCAUUGAUUUCGUCCAGAUUUCUCUUAUAGUAUAAUCCUUACAUAAUGGAAAUGCACAUUCAGAUAAAUACAUUCAAUCAGCAAUGAUCAGACAGUCGUAGCUACUAGUUUCACUAUUUCUAUAAAUCGUGUGUACAUAAAUAAUAUCCUACACUAAUUUACACACAGUGUACAUGAAUUAAAUGACUUAUUUCCAAAAUUAUAAUAAAUAUAUAACAUAAUUAUAUAAUAUAAAAUGAAAUUAUAAUAAAAACAAACACGUACAAGAUCACCAGUCAAACGAUACGCUCAUCCGCUACAUCUACUGUAACGAGGAUCGAGUAUGAGGAGAUAUCGAGAACCACUGUAUGCGGUCUCUCGCGAAGGUACUCGAGCCAAAUAGUUACGCCGUAGGAUCCCCUUUUCCCUUUCUCUGUUCGCUGACGGCUGCAUCGGUGGAGCAGUUAGAGUGUCGGAAAAGGCCAUGGAGGGCCGAGGGGGUGGGUUCGGGUCUCGUAGCGACGGGGGUGUGUACCAAUUAUACAGACACAACUAUUGUGCGGCUCUCAUUAAACGACGCCAACAAAUUCGAUUACUUCUGCUUCCAAAUUUUGCCUCGGCCCCCGGUAAAUGCUGGCAUCGGCACCUUCACCCUUACACCAAGGGUGGAAAAUACGUCGGUGGAGAGAGCAUUCUCCACGGUUCGAACUCGUUGCUAUCCUCUCCCCCCACCUACUUUCCAUCCCACCCGACCCCAACGUCGAGAAUUUAUUUUACGACUAAACAGAAAAUUAGUGAGCGUUUGGGUUUGCGGUGUUUAGGUCUUUUGCACCGCCGUGGUUCGAACCGCGGUCGACUAGGCCA